GUCGGGGACACGGGACCUGGAUGGGACAAUAUAGGGGGGCACAGGGACCCUGGGGUUUGCCCCUUCGGGUGUCUGCAGGGCUGAAGGAGGGCGGCGCUGGCAGAGCUGCUGCUGCCUCUGGGACCCUGCCCUGCCUGGCACAGGGCACAGGGCUCCAGCUGGGAGGGACUUUACUGCCCACACUGCUGCUCAUUUGUCAUUUUCCUUCUUAGACUUUCUUCUACUUGUCGCUGCAUUCCUCAUUGGAAUCGUCAUUAGACCUGCACUUGUAGGUGAGAGUCUGGCACAGGAUGAGCAACUCUCAGCUUUGCUGGUGGUGCUGCCGAGGGAAGGGACAGCUCUGGGCAGUGCCUGGAAUGGGGUUCUGGCUGCCCCCGGUGCCGCAGCCCUGCACGCUGCUCCUCUCCUGCCGCCCAGGGCUGUCCCCGUCCCUGCAGCCCCAGCCCUCGCUGCCCGCUCUGCUCCCUGNAGAGUUAAGAAGAAAGUGAAACGGAGCGAUGGCUCCGAAUUUCCCGGAAAGCAGCUGACCCGCAGCUGCCUUUCCUGGCGGGAGCUUUUCCGAACGCCAUUGGACCCUCAGAGCGUAAACGAGACUUUGGUGUCGUGGAGUGUCGCGGUACCGAGAUUAGAGCAGAAUCAUCGAGGAUCUCGUCCCAUCCAGAUGACCAUGGGGGCGAAUAUAAUUAUCAUUAAAGCUGUCAUUGGAGCCACAGUGGGAGUAGGUGAGGAUCUGGCACGGGAUGAGCAGCGCUCGGGUUCACUGCCUGGUUCCAGCCACGCGUGGUCCUGGGGACUGGACUGGGGGCUGCAAGUACCAGGGCUGGGGAGGAUUGGGGUGCAGGUGGGAGGAAGAGGGGAGGAGGGGCAGCUCCGGCCACUGUCUGGAAUGGAGUUGUGUCUGCCCCCGGUGCCGCAGCCCUGCACGCUGCUCCUCUCCUGCCGCCC
Long non-coding RNA from Zonotrichia albicollis (white-throated sparrow), 945 nucleotides. NCBI's taxonomy places the organism in Eukaryota, Metazoa, Chordata, Aves, Passeriformes, Passerellidae. The record is from Ensembl.